RNAcentral lists this ribosomal RNA (673 nucleotides) under uncultured bacterium. RNAcentral's name for it is "bacterial SSU rRNA". It matches the Rfam family "Bacterial small subunit ribosomal RNA", at positions 69 to 749 of the family's 1533-position model. The record is from RNAcentral.
AAGGAUUUCUUCGGAAUGAAUCUGAUUAAGUUUAGUGGCGGACGGGUGAGUAACGCGUGAGUAACCUGCCUCUAAGAGGGGAAUAACAUUCUGAAAAGAAUGCUAAUACCGCAUAACAUAUAUUUAUCGCAUGGUAGAUAUAUCAAAGAUUUAUCGCUUAGAGAUGGACUCGCGUCCGAUUAGUUAGUUGGUGAGGUAACGGCUCACCAAGACCGCGAUCGGUAGCCGGACUGAGAGGUUGAACGGCCACAUUGGGACUGAGACACGGCCCAGACUCCUACGGGAGGCAGCAGUGGGGGAUAUUGCGCAAUGGGGGAAACCCUGACGCAGCAACGCCGCGUGAAGGAUGAAGGUCUUCGGAUUGUAAACUUCUUUUAUUAAGGACGAAGAAAGUGACGGUACUUAAUGAAUAAGCUCCGGCUAACUACGUGCCAGCAGCCGCGGUAAUACGUAGGGAGCAAGCGUUGUCCGGAUUUACUGGGUGUAAAGGGUGCGUAGGCGGCUUUGCAAGUCAGAUGUGAAAUCUAUGGGCUCAACCCAUAGCCUGCAUUUGAAACUGCAGAGCUUGAGUGAAGUAGAGGCAGGCGGAAUUCCCCGUGUAGCGGUGAAAUGCGUAGAGAUGGGGAGGAACACCAGUGGCGAAGGCGGCCUGCUGGGCUUUAACUGACGCUGA